This 425-nucleotide ribosomal RNA is filed under the name uncultured bacterium. RNAcentral's name for it is "partial 16S ribosomal RNA". It matches the Rfam family "Bacterial small subunit ribosomal RNA", at positions 354 to 796 of the family's 1533-position model. The record is from RNAcentral.
GUGGGGAAUAUUGGGCAAUGGGCGAAAGCCUGACCCAGCAACGCCGCGUGAAGGAAGAAGGUCUUCGGAUCGUAAACUUCUAUCCUUGGUGAAGAUAAUGACGGUAGCCGAGAAGGAAGCCCCGGCUAACUACGUGCCAGCAGCCGCGGUAAUACGUAGGGGGCAAGCGUUGUCCGGAAUGAUUGGGCGUAAAGGGCGCGUAGGCGGCCUGGUAAGUCUGGAGUGAAAGUCCUGCUUUUGAGGUGGGAAUUGCUUUGGAUACUGUCGGGCUUGAGUGCAGGAGAGGUAAGUGGAAUUCCCGGUGUAGCGGUGAAAUGCGUAGAGAUCGGGAGGAACACCAGUGGCGAAGGCGACUUACUGGACUGUAACUGACGCUGAGGCGCGAAAGUGUGGGGAGCAAACAGGAUUAGAAACCCGGGUAGUCC